This 30-nucleotide non-coding RNA is filed under the name Homo sapiens (human). The record is from RNAcentral. Lineage: Eukaryota; Metazoa; Chordata; Mammalia; Primates; Hominidae.
UUCUCUUUGUUGGGUAUCUCUCUUGCUUCC